This 465-nucleotide ribosomal RNA is filed under the name uncultured bacterium. Its description in RNAcentral is "partial 16S ribosomal RNA". It matches the Rfam family "Bacterial small subunit ribosomal RNA", at positions 28 to 507 of the family's 1533-position model. The record is from RNAcentral.
GACGAACGCUGGCGGCGUGCUUAACACAUGCAAGUCGAACGGAAAGGCCCUGCUUGCAGGGUACUCGAGUGGCGAACGGGUGAGUAACACGUGGGUGAUCUGCCCUGCACUUCGGGAUAAGCCUGGGAAACUGGGUCUAAUACCGGAUAGGAGCCAUUUUUAGUGUGAUGGUUGGAAAGUUUUUUCGGUGUAGGAUGAGCUCGCGGCCUAUCAGCUUGUUGGUGGGGUAAUGGCCUACCAAGGCGGCGACGGGUAGCCGGCCUGAGAGGGUGGACGGCCACAUUGGGACUGAGAUACGGCCCAGACUCCUACGGGAGGCAGAAGUGGGGAAUAUUGCACAAGCGGCGCAAGCCUGAUGCAGCGACGCCGCGGGGGGGAUGACGGCCUUCGGGUUGUAAACUCCUUGCGCUAGGGACGAAGCUUUUUGUGACGGUACCUAGAUAAGAAGCACCGGCUAACUACGUG